This 249-nucleotide ribosomal RNA is filed under the name uncultured bacterium. Its description in RNAcentral is "partial 16S ribosomal RNA". It matches the Rfam family "Bacterial small subunit ribosomal RNA", at positions 524 to 770 of the family's 1533-position model. The record is from RNAcentral.
UACGUAGGGUGCAAGCGUUAAUCGGAAUUACUGGGCGUAAAGCGUGCGCAGGCGGUUUUGUAAGUCUGUCGUGAAAUCCCCCGGGCUCAACCUGGGAAUUGCGAUGGAGACUGCAAGGCUAGAAUCUGGCAGAGGGGGGUAGAAUUCCACGUGUGAGCAGUGAAAUGCGUAGAGAUGUGGAGGAACACCGAUGGCGAAGGCAGCCCCCUGGGUCAAGAUUGACGCUCAUGCACGAAAGCGUGGGGAGCA